This 281-nucleotide ribosomal RNA is filed under the name uncultured soil bacterium. RNAcentral describes it as "partial 16S ribosomal RNA". It matches the Rfam family "Bacterial small subunit ribosomal RNA", at positions 26 to 335 of the family's 1533-position model. The record is from RNAcentral.
AGAACGAACGCUGGCGGCAUGCCUAACACAUGCAAGUCGAACGAGACCUUCGGGUCUAGUGGCGCACGGGUGCGUAACGCGUGGGAAUCUGCCCUUGGGUUCGGAAUAGCAGCGAGAAAUUGCUGCUAAUACCGGAUGAUGACGUAAGUCCAAAGAUUUAUCGCCCAAGGAUGAGCCCGCGUAGGAUUAGCUUGUUGGUGAGGUAAGAGCUCACCAAGGCGACGAUCCUUAGCUGGUCUGAGAGGAUGAUCAGCCACACUGGGACUGAGACACGGCCCAGA